RNAcentral lists this long non-coding RNA (220 nucleotides) under Carica papaya (papaya). RNAcentral's name for it is "long non-coding RNA (CPAP_LNC003559)". The record is from RNAcentral. Lineage: Eukaryota; Viridiplantae; Streptophyta; Magnoliopsida; Brassicales; Caricaceae.
GUGGGGAACCUCAGGUCCUCGGCUUCACAACGUAGACUAGCACAUACUUCACCUGUUCAACAAAACAAAAGAUCUAGGCUGAUGACUCAGGCUCCUCCUCAGAGUCCAACAGCUGGUUGUGGUAGGACUUGCCAACACUGUGGUAAGGAUCAUAGAGACCGACCCUGCUAUUACCUCAACAAUACUUGCUGCAUACGUGGGAGUGCCCAACAUUAUAUAA